CUUAUUGCAACAGUUAAAUAAUUAUUCUUUUGUGUAGAUUUUCACAUUAGAAAAACGUUGCUGUAGAAAAUUGUAGCAACGGUUGUGGAUUAUAAAUAUUUUUAUUGCAACCGUUUGUAUUAUUUUUUUUUUUAGUUUUUCUAGGAGAUAUUGCAACACUUGUUCAAGAAACUAAAAUGUGUUAAAAACAUUAAAAUAUAAAUUAGGCUAAUUUUUCCAAUAGAGCUCUAUUUUUUUUCUUCCUCUCUUCCAUGUCAGUUCAUAGUUUUCUCCCUAAACCCUUUCAUCUUCUUCGUUCUCUUUCUUCUAUCAUCUUCGUCCUCUUUCGUCCUUUUCAUCUUCGUUCUUUCAAACACGGGAAUUGUGGAUUGGGUAUGUACACACGAGAUUUGAUAUUUACAUUGGUGAUUGGCCUCUGAAUUGGGGUUUCGAAAAAUUGUGAUCGGCGUUCUGAAUUGGAGAAGUACAAGGUUUGUUUAAAUAUUUCUCUUCAGAUUUGGUCUUAAAUUUCGCAAUUUAAGCUGUAUUUUAAAUUGUUAAUCGAUUAUAGAUAGAGCUUUUUGUGUGGUUUCAAGGUUUAAAUUAGGGUUUCUUAAUUAGUGAAUUAUUAUGAUUUGAUUUUUAAUGAAGAUCCUUGUUCUGGUGAUUCAUAUUUGAUAUAACUUUUAUGCAUUCGAUUUUUUAAAUCUAAUUCCUGAAUUAAUUUUGAGUUUCUAUGUAUGUCAUUUGAUUCUAUUGUCUUUACCCUAUACGCUUGUAUUGGUCAACCUAGAUAAUGUAAUUUUGAGACUGUAAUUUGUACAAUUGUAUGAUUUAAUUAGGGAAUUUUUUAUGUUGAGUCCAGAAUGUCAAUCAAGUGUAUAACCUGGAUGAUUUUAGUUGCGAGUUGUGGUACUUCCCUAGGAAUUUCUUUCUAUUCUUGAAUCUCUUUUUUUUCUUUUAAUUUAUGAACUUGUUAGAAUGUGGUACUUCCCUAGGAAUUUCUUUCUAUUCUUGAAUCUCUUUUUUUUUUCUUUUAAUUUAUGAACUUGUUAGAAUUUUCGAGCAUCCUAAUUUCUCUAAAAUGCCAAAAACAAAAUGGGUAGAGUUGAUGAAUGUUUAUAGUAAAAUGAUUGAUAUUGGUAAAUUUAUGUUCUGAAAGUUGAUGCACCUACUAUGUAGAAGAUUGUGAGUAUCUUCUUGCUGUCACUUAUUAGUUGAUGUCUACUUUUUUGAUUGGUUAUUUGCUUAGAAGUUCAGCUUAAGUCUCUUAUUUUUUGUCAAGUUAUGUUGGUGGUGUUUUACGCCCCUGAAGUGAAUUUUAUUGAAAAGACCAUCUUUCUGUUUGUCAAAAACAACUUUUGACAUGUUUCCUUAUUUCCCUUUGUCCAUCUUUAGUUUUUCAUUUUACAUAAAACAUGUUUGUAGCUGUAUUGCAAUAUUAGACUUCGUCCUCGGUGAUUUAUAACGUCUUGUAAAAAGUUCCACAACCAUGACUGGAUCUACUAGGGACCUGGUUUUUCUUCUUUUCCUUUUUGCAACAAGAUUCAAAUUAUGUUUCUGUUUGUUUGUUCUGGGGGGGUCUUAAUAUUUUUUGUUAAAUAAUAGAUAUAUCAUUAUCCUGUUAUUGUCUGUUUUUAUCCCUCUCUCCCUUGGAUCCAGUCUUCGGUGUUUUAUUUUCUAGCUUGACCUCAUUAGCAGCCACGACUUCCUUUUCAUCUUCAAAAUUUACUCUUGUAUUUUCGAGGUUUGAGACAAGAACCAAGGUACACCUAAAGAUCUUGAGUGAUCUUGCCUGUAUGAGAGUCUGUACAUGCUCUUCCAUAGUUGAAUAUAACAUCCUCUCCACUAGUACCAAUGAACAUUUCUUAUAGCAGCCACGUUCUUUGUACUUCAGUUAACAACCUCCGUCUUACUGUCCUCUUUUGCUUCUAGUGUCUACAAGACUACAAGAACUAAGCUCACAACUCACAGCUCACAGUAACAGCUCACAAUAAGAGCUCCAACAUGUAUGCUGACUGCCAACAGUAACCGAGUGCUUGAACCUCUUUGAUGUUCUUCCUCAGUACCUGAAGCCAAAACACCCCCUCCAAAAUAGGAGCAGCAGCAUGAGAGACACAAUCAACACCUUGGAUAGCUUCCUCAAAGCUUCCUUCCACCAUCAAAUCAGCUUUGAAAUGUAAUCCAUGUCCAAAAAUAUAAAGAGUUUAUAUAACAAAUUAUUCCUAACAAAAGGAGCAGAAACUAUGAAAUGUAAUAAAGGAUUGAUAAUAUUAUGGAAGGUUGGUGGGGAGUCCUGGAGACAAUGAAAUGAUCCAAUUAUUCACAAGAAAAAGAAGAAAGUAGUUGCCUAUAAUAGGAAAAGGUUCUUAAUCUAACCUAAGGUCAAUAAGUUUAAUUAUGCGAACAAUAUGAUACAAUUAUGCCAUUCUAAGUUUAUACCUGUGUUGCUAUUGUUUCGGAUGUCGGGCAUUGUGGCACAUUGAGUUGAUCUUUUAACGGUCGUUGUUCUGAUGUUCCUGGUCUGCUCAGUUUUGUUUGCUGAUGAAAUUAUGUUUUCUGCUCUGUUCAGUAAUGUUUAUAACCUGAACUGUUGACUUGUGUGGUAUGUUCCAAAGUUGACCAUGCUAACUGUCAACUGCUGCUUUCUAAUCUAUUGUUUUCGAACCUACAUAUCAAACAUUGGAUGCAUGUUGUACUGUUUUCCUCUGCUAGUUUCCCGCAUCUCAGAGCUUCGUGUUCCUCUUUGCUGUUAGCUAGUGGUUAGAGAUAUCUUUUUCUAUGUCACGGACUUGCAGCCUUGAAGGGAUAUGCAAGAUCAGGCCCGUAUCAUUCUGUUUCCUUUUUGUGGGUGAGAGUUAGUAUUUUCUCAUGCCUUGGAUCUUAUCCUAUUUGGACAUCUUAAAGUGUUCAAAUUGUUUGUUUUCUACUAAUGUUGCUGCUAGUUUCUUUUAACUAUUACCAUUGUAUAUUGUUACUCGUAGCGACUUUAAGUGUACUUUGCUUCACAAGAAUCCCUUUACCCGAGUUGUUUGGCUCUUUACUAUUUGAUCGGGUCUGCUUCUUCAUGUUUGUGUUCAGAUCUGCUGCUUUUCUGAUCAGGUCUGCUUCUUUACUAUUAUGAUCUGUUGCGUUUCGGAUUAAGUCUACUGUUUUUCCUCAGGUCUUCUUCUUUACUGUUCUGAUCUUCUAGUGUUCUGACCAGGAUGGUGCAUAUAUUCAAGAAUUACAAGCUACUUUAAAUAUGUGAAGAUUUAUAGGGUUUUUGGAACAUAAUUAUUAGGUUUUAAAAAACAGAGCUAUUGAACCGUUGUAGACACCUACUUUUGUCCCCAUUCCCGAAAGGGAAAGGUUCGAUGAUGAAAGCAUAAAUCUCCACUUGACAACGCGUCUCCUAUAAAAUAAA
Spinacia oleracea (spinach) is the source of this 3385-nucleotide long non-coding RNA. RefSeq lists it as uncharacterized. The transcript has 2 exons. NCBI's taxonomy places the organism in Eukaryota, Viridiplantae, Streptophyta, Magnoliopsida, Caryophyllales, Amaranthaceae. The record is from RefSeq and is a predicted model, not a curated record.